This 72-nucleotide transfer RNA is filed under the name Heterocephalus glaber (naked mole-rat). It matches the Rfam family "tRNA". Rfam says of the family: Transfer RNA (tRNA) molecules are approximately 80 nucleotides in length. The record is from Rfam by way of RNAcentral. Lineage: Eukaryota; Metazoa; Chordata; Mammalia; Rodentia; Bathyergidae.
GGGGAUGUAGCUCAGUGGCAGAGUACCUGCCCAGUAAGCAGAAGGCCCUGGGUUCAAUUCUCAGCACUGCAA